CGCAGAUGUUAAUUCCGCCUCGCGAAAACAUUCAAGACAAAAACACUCGAAACGAAAAUAAAAUAUUCACCACCACCUGGUUUGCCAACAUCGUCUUUACAAGGAAUGUCCAGCAGUGCAUGACAGAGGCCGGUCACUCCCAUUAAGUCCAGCUGAAGAGCCUUCCCAGUUUAUAGGACAAAAUGCAGUUACACAGAUUUUAACGGUGUUGGAAACAAUCAGAGACGAGAACAGGGAAAUGAAGCGGAUGCUGCAGCGGCUCUUGGCUAGGUCAGCUACUGAUGACGAGCCAAUGCAACUGCCAGAGAACAUCAGUCUUCCAAUUGGAACAUUUGAGCAAAUGGAUGAGUUUGAAGAGCAUCUUGGUGAUGAAGCUACGAUCCAUCUUUUCUAGGACUGCUGCAUAGUUCAAGUUUUUUUAUCAAAUAUAUUAAGCAAUGUUGUCAAUGUAAUUGACAGUUCUUUCUUCAUUGAUCCUAAACCAUUCCUUUAAGGCUCAUCUUCUAAGAAAGCAUACAAUUUUUUUAUCUGGAAAUGAAAUGGUAUAUAUUCCUUUGCAAAAGAAGAAACAGCAUUCCAGUUUUUAAAGGUUUUAAAAGACAUAUAUAUAUAUAUAUAUAUCAUGUGCAAUUACGAAAAACACUAGAAUGUAUGAAGAUAUCAAAGAUAAUAAUAUGGACUUGUUCUCGAAAAAGGAUUUGCCAUUUAUUUGAGUUUUGGAUUUUUUUGCAGGGUUUUUAAUUUCUAGUUUAUAAAAUAUUUUGUUUAGUCUUGCAAGUAUGUUUCAAAGCUCUAGAUAAGGAUUUGUGAAAUUAGUAACGGUAUUGCCACUGACAGAAAGAAAAGGAGUAACGCUGAAAAUCAAUUAGUACCUGUACUACCAUAUCCAAAAAUACAGGUAGUACUGUACUACCCGUGUUCUUGGAUAUUGAUGGGUGUAUACCUUACUUUACAGAAACAUUUGCAGCAAUUAUAAUAAAUAUAUUUUGCUUCUUAAACAGUUACUUUAUUAGGUUUUCCAUUCUGAAUUAUGAUGCAAAUACAACUACACAUUAAAACUCAUGACUAAA
Long non-coding RNA from Dreissena polymorpha, 1070 nucleotides. RefSeq lists it as uncharacterized. Lineage: Eukaryota; Metazoa; Mollusca; Bivalvia; Myida; Dreissenidae. The transcript has 3 exons. The record is from RefSeq and is a predicted model, not a curated record.